GAUUACAGGCGUGAGCCACCGUGCCCAGCCAGCUGUGAGUUUUGAGAAAUUAAAUUUUUUAUACUGAAUUAGCCUCUUGGAAGUAUCGAAAGCAGAUGAACAAUGUUAGUUUCUGCCUUCAUGGGCAUUGCCUUUGUUUUGUCCACCAGAGAAAGAUCAGUUCAUGGUUCACUCCUGUAUUAGGCCGUUCUUGCAUUGCUAUAAAUAAAUGCCUGAGACUGGGUAGUUUAUAAGAAAAGAGGUUUAAUUGGUUCACAGUUCUGCAGGCUGUACAAGCAUGGCAUCUGACAUCACUCAGCUUCUGGGAGGCCUCAGGGACCUUUUACUCAUGGCGGAAAGUGAAGCAGGAGCAGGCAUCGCACAUCACAGAGUGAACAAGAGAGUGAGUGCAGGGAGGAGGUGCCACACUUUACAACAACCUGAUCUGUAAGCACUCACUAUGGAGAGGACAGCACCAAGCCAUGAGGGAUCCGCCCCAUAACCCCAACACCCCACUAGGCCCCACCUACAACACUGGGGAUUAUAUUUCCAUGAGAUUUGAGUGGGGACAAAUUUCAAAACUACAUCAACUGUUUUGGUCCCAUAAGAACAAAAUCUUUAGACAACAUCCUUGAGCUUUUGCCUGAUUUUCAUUCAUCCUGCCAGCCCUUUCUAACAUGGCAUCUGUUUGCCAGAUGCCUGGGCUCAAACAAUCUGUCCACUGUAGCCUCGAAAAGUGCUGGGAUUAUACGCAUGAGCCACCGUGUCCAGCUUUAUAUGGAUUUUUAAAAGAACAGAGGCCAGGGGCAGUGGCUCAUGCCUGUAAUCCCAGCACUUUGGGAGGCUGAGGCGGUUGGAUCACCUGAGGUCAGGAGUUCGAGACCAGUCUGGCCAACAUGGUGAAACUCCAUCUCUACCAAAAAAUACAAAAAAAAAAAAAAAAUUGGCCAGACUUGGUGGAGCGCACCUGUAGUCCAAACUCCUUGGGAGGCUCAGGCAGGAGAAUCACUUGAACUUGAGUGGCAGAGGUUCCAGUGAGCAGAGAUCUCAACACUGCACUCCUGCCUGAGCAACAGAGUUAGACUCCAUCUGCCCCCCUCAUCACCACACCCAAAAAAAGGCCGAGCAUGGUGGCACAUGCCUGUAAUCCCAGCACUUUGGGAGGCUGAGGUGGGUGGAUCACCUGAGGUCAGGAGUUUGAGACCAGCCUGGCCAACAUGGUAAAACCCCAUCUCUACCAAAAAAUACAAAAAAAAAAAUUGGGCCAGGCUUGAUGGAGCGCACCUGUAGUCCAAACUUCUCGGGAGGCUCAGACAGGAGAAUCACUUCAACUUGGGAGGCAGAGGUUGUAGUGAGCCUAGAUCUCACCACUGCACUCCUGCCUGAGCGACAGAGGGAGACUCCAUCCCCCCCACAACAAAAAGGCCAGGCAUGGUGGCACAUGCCUGUAGUCCCAGCACUUUGGGAGACCGAGGCGGGCACUUCACCUGAGGUUAGGGGUUCAAGACAAACCUGGCCAACAUGGUGAAACCCAGUCUCUACUAAAAAUACAAAAAUUAGCCAGGCACAGUGGCGGGCUCCUGUAAUCCCAGUUAGUCGGGAGGCUGAGGCUGGAAAAUCGCUUGAACCCAAGAGGCAGAGAUUGCGGUGAGCCAAGAUCGUGCCACUGCACUCCUGCCUGGGCAACAGAGCCCAGACUCCAUCUCAAAAAAAAAAAAAAAAAAAAAAAAGGAAAAAAUAGAAAAGUUUGUGAAAAUAGAAAUAAAAGAAAAAAAUAUAAACUUCUCAUUGUAAGAUCCACCAAGGUCAAGACACUUUCGUAAGCAAUGAUACUAGCCAUUUAUGUAUGUAUGUAUGUCUUUUGCUCACAGCAAUUACAUACUAGCCAUUUCAUCCAUCCCCUAAGAAGUGGAGGUCCUGGGAAUUUAACCACAUCAAUGAAAUCUUUUUUACAUUAUUAACUGAAGAGAAAUGGUUGCCCUUUACAGACUUUUUAAAAUUAGGAAACAAAAAAGUGACAGAAGAAGCUAAAUCCCGACUGUAAGGUGGAUGCCUAAUGGUUUCCCAUUGAAACUCUCAAAAUUGCCCUUGUUUGAUGAGAGGCAUGAGCAGAAGCAUUACCGUGGUAGAAAAGGACUCUCUGGUGAAGCUUUCCUGGGCAUUUUGCUGCUAAAGCUUUGGCCUUCUCAAAACAUUCUCAUAAUAAGCAGGUGUUGGCCAGGCACGGUAGCUCACACCUGCAAUCCCAGCACUCUGGGAGGCCGAGACGGGUGGAUCACGAGGUCAGCAGUUCGAGACAAGCCUGAUCAACAUGGUGAAACCUCGUUUCUACUAAAAAUACAAAACUUAGCCAGGCAUGGUGGUGCGUGCCUGUAAUCCCAGCUACUCAGGAGGCUGAGGCAGGAGAACAGCUUGAACCUGGGAGGCAGAGGUUGCAGUGAGCCAAGAUUGCACCACUGCAGUCCAGCCUGGGUGACAG
Symphalangus syndactylus (siamang) is the source of this 2458-nucleotide long non-coding RNA. RefSeq lists it as uncharacterized. NCBI's taxonomy places the organism in Eukaryota, Metazoa, Chordata, Mammalia, Primates, Hylobatidae. The record is from RefSeq and is a predicted model, not a curated record.